This 582-nucleotide unclassified non-coding RNA is filed under the name Hevea brasiliensis (rubber tree). Lineage: Eukaryota; Viridiplantae; Streptophyta; Magnoliopsida; Malpighiales; Euphorbiaceae. The record is from RNAcentral.
GUCAACUGCUUCAUCUGGGGUAACUAACACAGAAAAUGGGACUGAAUACUCAAGCACCUCAAAAGAUGACUAAGUGAAAUAACCAUACUGAUUGGACAGCAGUUCUAUCACUGUUUAAAUGUAUGAUUGUUUGGCUUGCAUUUUGGACGGCAGUUGUAUGCAUAUUGUCCGCAAUCAUCAACUCUUGUAAGCAUGCAAGAGAAACAGAUUUUGGAGGCAUUAAUUUUAGUGUACGUGCCGCACACGGGGCUAAUUGAUUGUGAGAGAGCCCCAUUCAAAUAUUCAAUAGGUCCUAUGUAUUAGUCUAGGUGUUGACUUUGUAUUUUUUCCUUAAUUUUAUUAGACAAGCUAUUACAGACUCUUUUUCUAAACAUCGAUGAUGAUUGAUUAUGCUGUUCUGUACUCCAUUUUUGCCUUGUGAGAAUUUAAAUUGUGUUUGAUUGAUUGUAUUUUCAUGUUGUGUAGUAUCAUUUUUUUCCCUUUUUGGUGAGAGGAGGGUGUUUGAUUCAGGAACAUGAAAAAUUGUGUGGGUUUGUAGUUUGUUCCUUUUUAAACUAAAUGCAUGCUUGCUUUUGCUUGUGC